This 443-nucleotide ribosomal RNA is filed under the name uncultured bacterium. Its description in RNAcentral is "partial 16S ribosomal RNA". It matches the Rfam family "Bacterial small subunit ribosomal RNA", at positions 338 to 795 of the family's 1533-position model. The record is from RNAcentral.
CCUACGGGGGGCUGCAGUGGGGAAUAUUGGGCAAUGGGCGCAAGCCUGACCCAGCAACGCCGCGUGAAGGAAGAAGGCUUUCGGGUUGUAAACUUCUUUUACCAGGGACGAAGCAAGUGACGGUACCUGAUGAAUAAGCCACGGCUAACUACGUGCCAGCAGCCGCGGCAAUACGUAGGUGGCAACCGUCAUCCGAAUUUACUGGGGGUAAGGGGCGUGUAGGCGGGGGUGCAAUUCAGAUGUGAAGACUAUGGGCUCAACCCAGAGCCUGAAUUGGAAACUGUACUUCUUGAGUGCGGGAGGGGCAAUCGGAAUUCCGGGUGUAGCGGUGAAAUGCGUAGAUAUACGGAGGAACACCGGUGGCGAAGGCAGGUUGCUGGACAGUAACUGACGCUGAGGCGCGAAAGCGUGGGGAGCGAACAGGAUUAGAUACCCCAGUAGUC